UGAAGCCGUUGGUGCGUUCAUCUCAUUUCACAAGAAUUAGAUAACUGCUUCAUAGUCCUGGGUUCAAAUUCCUGCUGGGCACUACAUGUGGAAUUUCUCUCCUCUGUGUCUGUGGGACGUGUGAAGUGAACUGGAGUGAGCCUAGACUAGUCUGGUGUGAGCUUGACCUGUGACAGAUUGGGUUGUGCCCAGAGUUUCUGGGAGUGGCAUAACUCUGAACUGGACGAGCUACAUGUGAGGUGCCAAAAAAAAAAUGUCCAAUAAGGGCACAUAGCCCUGCCCCUUCCGGUCUGACCUCCAUAAAAGCUGGGCAUCCCAAGAGAAGAUGUCUUUUAAGGCCAAUUCAAGCUGCAGAAUGGAGCACCGUCUAUUUUGAAAGGUUGCCAUUCAGUUGACGAGAAACCUCAGUUUUGAGGAUUAGCACAAAGCCACACAUUUCUCUUUAAUUUUUUUGUUCUUUUUGUUUCAUCUGGUGACAAAUAAAAGGGAUGACCUGGUUGGCAUCCCAAAAGUC
This is a long non-coding RNA of Polypterus senegalus (gray bichir), 514 nucleotides long. RefSeq lists it as uncharacterized. The record is from RefSeq and is a predicted model, not a curated record. Lineage: Eukaryota; Metazoa; Chordata; Cladistia; Polypteriformes; Polypteridae. The transcript is spliced from 2 exons.